Molecule: ribosomal RNA, 242 nt
Filed under: uncultured bacterium
Lineage: Bacteria
Description: partial 16S ribosomal RNA
Rfam family: Bacterial small subunit ribosomal RNA
Source: RNAcentral
AAAGCGGCGAACGGGUGAGUAACGCGUACGCAACUUACCCUUGAGUGUGGAAUAGCCCUGGGAAACUGGGAUUAAUACCGCAUAUACUAUUGAAUUGGCAUCAAUUUACUAGUAAAGCUUCGGCGCUCAAGGAUAGGCGUGCGUUCCAUUAGCUAGUUGGUGAGGUAACGGCUCACCAAGGCGAUGAUGGGUAGGGGGCGUGAGAGCGUGGCCCCCCACACGGGUACUGAGACACGGACCCG